Long non-coding RNA from Pongo pygmaeus (Bornean orangutan), 652 nucleotides. RefSeq lists it as uncharacterized. The transcript has 3 exons. Lineage: Eukaryota; Metazoa; Chordata; Mammalia; Primates; Hominidae. The record is from RefSeq and is a predicted model, not a curated record.
AAAAAAAAAUCACUAACAUAAUAUACUCAUUUUUGAUACAUAUUUGCACUUUAUAAAACAUAGAUUUUCUAACUCUCCUAUGUUCACUUUGCUUGUUAGAGUAUACCCUCCACCACCAUCCCCAUCUCAGCUUUUUUUUUUUUCCUACAUCUGACAUAUCCAGUAUGUACAUUCAGGACAUUGGAACAAAGACAGGAAGACUUUAGACAAGCUCUUCAAUUAUAUCUGAAGUCAGGGAGAAAGACGGGCAGUAGAUUAGCUGUUAGGGAAUUUAAGGUUGUAGAAAUUCUGGGCAGUGAAAAAGUUAAUUUGCCAGAGGGACAGCACCAUUUUCCUUUAUCUGUGUGAAGACAAAUAGAAUCUGUGUGCCAAGUGUGACUGUCACCAAUCUCUUCCUUCCUAUCCCACGAAAGGGCCUCAUUUGAUUCUUUCUUAUUUUCUUCCUUCCAAUGCAGGAUCCUUGCAAAUCCUGUUCCCUGUGCUAAGACCGCACCAAUUUCCUCCACUAUUCAGCUAAGGUAACUCUUAUUCAUCUCCAAGCUCCAGAGAACUGAAUAGAAGAAAUGAAAAAGUUUGAUGUAAACCAUAAUCUGGGCUUCUAAGAGACACAAGACCAUCACACAAUUAAAUGUAUUCAAAAGUUCCUGUAGCU